This is a long non-coding RNA of Portunus trituberculatus (swimming crab), 3605 nucleotides long. RefSeq lists it as uncharacterized. The transcript is spliced from 2 exons. The record is from RefSeq and is a predicted model, not a curated record. Lineage: Eukaryota; Metazoa; Arthropoda; Malacostraca; Decapoda; Portunidae.
UUUGUUUACCCCAUGAUUAGUGCUGCCACAGAAUUGCAGAUGACAAACCCACCGCCACACUCCCGCCAGCCACCGCCUGCCAUCGCCAGAGUAUCUUUCUGGCCACGACGGCGGAGACAGGGCUGGUCAUUCGGGGUCACAGCAGGGUCACAGCAGGGUCACAGGGGCACGUUGGGACAAGCUACACCCGCAGAAGGUCAGGACGGAUAAAUAUUGCAGUUAAGUGUGGUAGAAAAGUGAUUUAAUGUUGUUGUUUUUUUCCUGGAGUGAAAUCGGGGUUAGAAAAGGAGUCGAGUACUGCAGGUGUGUGUUUUGACUCUCCUGUAACCUUCUGGUGUGUGUCAACCGGUACUCUAGAGGUUCGAAUCCUGUUGAUUACUAUUACUGAUUCCACCGACGCAGGAAGGAGGAGGAGGUGGAGGAGGAGAAGGAGGAGGAGGAGGAUACAAGACACAGUGAGGAGAGUGAAGGGAGUGACGAGAACGAGAAGAGACAGUGAGGAGGAGGAGGAGGAGGAGGUGAAGGUCUGGACGGAGAAGUGAAGGAGAAGGAGGGAGGGGUCCGCGGGGAUGGGGAGGGAGGAAGGGAAGAGGGAGGAGGGCGUGAUGACCCCGGAAUGUAAAUGAUGACGUCCCCUGGAAUAUCGAAGACAGAGGGUCGUGAAGGUGCAUAUUCAAUGGACGCGGCGGUGAAUAUGGAACGGAGGGCGUCGCGUAUACUGUGUGGAGGCGACCGCGGCCAGUCUCCUCCCGGGGCCUGCUCAGGUCGCCGCGCCCUCCCGUAGGCGGCGGCGGCGGCGGCGGCGGCGAAGGAGACAGCCGCUGGAAAUCCUCGCCGUGAAGGUCUCCGCUAACCGCCCCACCACGCACUGCCGCUAGAGUCUCCGCUGCGCCGCCGUCUGUGAUGCCGCCGCCGCUGCCGCCGUCAUCCCUGCCGCCACGCCACGCAACACAAAGCUACUCGGAUCCGGACUAACCGUACUUGUGCCACGCCUGUUCGGAUCCGGAGCUGCAGUGCCCGAAAUAAACAAAAGUUGGCAAAAAUAUAUCUCUAGUCACCACAAUCACCAUCUUCGCCGCCGCCGCCGCCACAGCCGCCGCCAAAUUGUGAACGCCGUGCCAUUCUUCAGUGCAACAUGUGCAUGGGUGUGCGUGUGCGUGUGUGCGUACCGCGUGUGUCCUGUGUACCGUAGUGUGUCGCGUGGGGCGCCUGUGUGUGUCAGGUGAGGCGCGGUGCAGAUGGCAGUGAAGGGCGCCACACAAACACUACGACAAGACGGCGCCCCUUCUCCCCCCUCCGCCCCCAACCCCCUGCCCCUCCACCAGUCCUCUACAGUCCGUACCCCAGCACACACACACACACACACACACGCACACACAAAGCGGUGGUGUUAUGAACAUCUACGAGGCUUCACUGUUUCAAAAGCAAGAAUGAUGCAUCGACAAUAGGCUUCACUGGACUGAAUGUGAAGCGCCAACCGAACCACAGGACGGAACAGUGAAGCAGUGAAUGAAGCAAACAGUGAUCCGGUGAUCGAAAAUGACUCUGAUAAUGAAAAGAUGAAAAAGGAAAUGGAAAAAAUUAUACGUAUAAAUUUAGCGAGGCAACCGAGUGAAGCAAUGAACGAAGCAGUGAAGCAGUGAAUGAACCAGUGAUCGAAUACGAAUGACAGCGAAAAUGCAGGAAAAUUAUGAAAAAGUUUUAUGUUGAAAAUAGAAGUUCAUUAUAUUUUGUCAACUUCAUUUUGGGAUUUUGUUGCGUAUGUUAGUGAAGCAGUAUGUGAAACAGUGAAGCAGUUACGUGAAUCAGUGAAGCAGUUCGUGAAACAGCUACGUUAAACAGUGAAGCAAAUACGUGAAGCAGUGAAGCAGCUUCGUGAAUUAGUGAAGUAGUUACAUGAAGCAGUAGGCAAAACAGAGCAGCAGUUACGUGAAGCAGUGAAGCAGUUACGUGAAACAGUGAAGCAGUUACGUGAAACAGUGAAGCAGUUACGUGAAGUGAAGCGAAUUGAAUUGAGAGAUUAAGGAAAAUUAGAAUUAUCAGAGGCGUAAAAUAAAAAAUGUGAUCGAUUCCAUUGACAAGAAAUAUAUAGAUGAAACUAACAAUAAGAAAUAGUAAUGACGAUAACGCAGUGAAUUAAUGUUGUCCCUUGCCACUUUAAAAAUGAAAUAGUGAAUGACGAUGAAUGACAGAUAGGUAAAUAAAAAGAUUGAUUUCCUAAGUUUGAAAAGCGAGAAGGGAAAAAAAAAAAUAGUGGAGUGAUUUUGUCCCAUCAAUUUAACAAUCAUCAAACAACGAAACUCAACUUCAAGCCAAUGAAACGACCACUUAAAAAAAAAAAAAAAAAAAAAACCAGCAGAUAGUGAAUGACGAUGAAUGACAAAACAGUGAAUGAAAGACUGACUUGAAGAAAAAAAAAGCAGUGAAUUAAUAUUGUCCCUUGUCACUUUAAAAAUCAAAUGGUGAAUAACGAUGAAUUUUAUAGGCGAAUAAAAAGAUUAAUUUUCUAAGUUUAAAAGGCGAGAAGGGAAAAAAAUACAACGAAACUCAACUUGAAAACAAUGAAACUACCACUUGAAAAAAAAAAAAAAAAAAAAAAAAUAGUGAAGUGAAGUGAAUAAGGUGAAUAAAAAAAAUGAUUUCCAAAGUUUAAACCGCGAGAAAAAAAAUUAAUGGAUUGAUUUUGCUUAUCAGUUCAACAAUCAUGAAAUAGUGAAUGACGGUGAAUGACAGAACAGUGAAUAAAAGACUGAUUUUUCUAAGUUUAAAUUAAAGGCGAGAAGGAAAAAUUACAACGAAACAACUUUGAACAAUGAAACUACGCUUUAAAACUCAGCAAAUAGUGAAAGACGAUGAACAACAAAUGAAUGAAUUAAAAAAACUGAUUUCAAAAGUUUAAAAAUGCGAAAGAAAAAAAAAAAAAAAAGUGGAUUAAUUUUGCUGCUCAUCACUUUAACAAUCAUCAAACAGUGAAUGACGAUGAAUAACAAACAGGCGAAUGGAAGACUGAUUUCAAGUUUAAAACACGAAGGGAAAAAAAUACAACGAAACUGAACUUGGAACAACGAAACUACUUAAAAAAAAUAAUCAGCAAAUAAAUACAAUGAAGAACAGAUAAGAUAAAAAAAAAGACUGAUUUCUAAGUUUAAAAGGCAAGAAGAAGAAAAUAAAAAGUAGAUUAAAUGUGUCCCUUAUCACUUCAACAAUCAGUAAAUAAAUGAAUAAAAGACUCAUUUCCGAAAUUUUAAAUGCGAAUAGAAAAAAAAAAAGAAAAACACAACUAAACAAAGACAAAUUACAGGUAACAAUUAUAUAAAGGUAAGCUGUGGGACCUUUCAAUACAGGUGUGCGUCGCUUUUAAGGCCAGAAUAUGUAUAAAAAAAUAUUAAAAAAAAUCAUGUCAUUAAAAUUUUUCCUCGAUUACGGACUGAAUCAUGAAAAUCUGAAGAAAUAUUGAUAAAAAAAAACAAGUGUAUAUUUAUUGAUUGUCUUUUCUUUAUCUGUCCUAAAAUCACAAGGGAAAAAACAAAGUAUAUUUUUUGACUAUCUUUUCUUAAUUGUCCUAAAGUCGCAAGUAAAAUGAAAAAAUAAAAAGUAUAUUCAUC